RNAcentral lists this ribosomal RNA (261 nucleotides) under uncultured prokaryote. RNAcentral's name for it is "partial 16S ribosomal RNA". It matches the Rfam family "Bacterial small subunit ribosomal RNA", at positions 524 to 784 of the family's 1533-position model. The record is from RNAcentral.
UACGUAGGGUCCGAGCGUUGUCCGGAAUUACUGGGCGUAAAGGGCUCGUAGGCGGUCUGUCGCGUCGGUAGUGAAAACUCAGGGCUCAACCCUGAGCGUGCUUUCGAUACGGGCAGACUAGAGGUAUGCAGGGGAGAAUGGAAUUCCUGGUGUAGCGGUGGAAUGCGCAGAUAUCAGGAGGAACACCGAUGGCGAAGGCAGGUCUCUGGGCCACUACUGACGCUGAGAAGCGAAAGCAUGGGGAGCGAACAGGAUUAGAUA